RNAcentral lists this non-coding RNA (25 nucleotides) under Mus musculus (house mouse). The record is from RNAcentral. RNAcentral also lists the same sequence under 1 other name. Lineage: Eukaryota; Metazoa; Chordata; Mammalia; Rodentia; Muridae.
UGUUAUGUCGCUCUGAGCACUGCUG